GCCUUCGUGGUGUAGUGGUCAGCACGCUGGGUGCGUAUUCCAGAGGUCCGUGGUUCGAGUCCCGGCGAAGGCG
This 73-nucleotide transfer RNA is filed under the name Stegodyphus mimosarum. It matches the Rfam family "tRNA". From Rfam's summary of the family: Transfer RNA (tRNA) molecules are approximately 80 nucleotides in length. Their secondary structure includes four short double-helical elements and three loops (D, anti-codon, and T loops). Further hydrogen bonds mediate the characteristic L-shaped molecular structure. tRNAs have two regions of fundamental functional importance: the anti-codon, which is responsible for specific mRNA codon recognition, and the 3' end, to which the tRNAs corresponding amino acid is attached (by aminoacyl-tRNA synthetases). tRNAs cope with the degeneracy of the genetic code in two manners: having more than one tRNA (with a specific anti-codon) for a particular amino acid; and 'wobble' base-pairing, i.e. permitting non-standard base-pairing at the 3rd anti-codon position. Lineage: Eukaryota; Metazoa; Arthropoda; Arachnida; Araneae; Eresidae. The record is from Rfam by way of RNAcentral.